CGUAGGCGGCCUACUAAGUCGGUUGUGAAAUCUCCCGGCUCAACCGGGAGAGGUCGACCGAUACUGGUAGGCUUGAGGGCAGCAGAGGGAGGUGGAAUUCCCGGUGUAGCGGUGAAAUGCGUAGAGAUCGGGAGGAACACCAGUGGCGAAGGCGGCCUCCUGGGCUGUUUCUGACGCUGAGGCGCGAGAGCGUGGGGAGCAAACA
This 205-nucleotide ribosomal RNA is filed under the name uncultured bacterium. RNAcentral's name for it is "partial 16S ribosomal RNA". It matches the Rfam family "Bacterial small subunit ribosomal RNA", at positions 570 to 774 of the family's 1533-position model. The record is from RNAcentral.